Molecule: long non-coding RNA, 372 nt
Organism: Rhipicephalus sanguineus (brown dog tick)
Lineage: Eukaryota; Metazoa; Arthropoda; Arachnida; Ixodida; Ixodidae
Exons: 3
Source: RefSeq, a predicted model, not a curated record
UUUCGUGGCCACUACAGGGAGCGACCGCCGCGCCGCCAUCCGAUAGCGCCUGAAACGCGCUUCUGGGCACUUUUUCUCCCUGAAGACGGCCGCUGGCCUAGGUACUGAGGAGGAGAACGCCCCUAGCUCCACUUGUCCCUAAACGCGCUUCGCCGCCGGUGUCAACUCACGUCAAGGUGCCCAUGUUGCGAGUGCAGUCGUAACGCUUUGUCGUUGGAUCCGAGCCCAUGGAGAAAGUUGGAGCUGUAGAGCUGUAUGUUUUUGGACAAAGUCAUCAAUUCCAUUGCUCUUCCUAUGCCAAGUGGCCAGGAUAAUGGUUGAAAUUGCUACAAUAAAGGUUAUGAUCAACAACAUUUGUUGAAAUUUUGCAUU